CACUGCUCAGAGCAAAGCCGUCGAAAGGCGGUGACGCAGAGCCACGGGGCUACAGCGGUUCGCCGCUAUGCUCGCCGGGCCGCCAGU
This is a non-coding RNA of Gemmatimonadetes bacterium 13_2_20CM_2_69_23, 87 nucleotides long. NCBI's taxonomy places the organism in Bacteria, Pseudomonadati, Gemmatimonadota. The record is from Rfam.